Molecule: ribosomal RNA, 408 nt
Filed under: uncultured prokaryote
Description: bacterial SSU rRNA
Rfam family: Bacterial small subunit ribosomal RNA
Source: RNAcentral
UGGGGAAUAUUGGGCAAUGGGGGAAACCCUGACCCAGCAACGCCGCGUGAGGGAAGAAGGUUUUCGGAUUGUAAAAUUCUGUCUUCAGGGAAGAAGAAAGUGACGGUACCUGAGGAGGAAGCCCCGGCUAACUACGUGCCAGCAGCCGCGGUAAAACGUAGGGGGCGAGCGUUGUCCGGAAUUACUGGGCGUAAAGGGCGCGUAGGCGGUGUGGUAAGUCUCAAGGUGAAAACUAUCGGCUCAACCGGAAGCGUGCCUGAGAAACUGCCAUACUUGAGUGCAGGAGAGGGGAGUGGAAUUCCCAGUGUAGCGGUGAAAUGCGUAGAUAUUGGGAGGAACACCAGUGGCGAAGGCGGCUCUCUGGCCUGUAACUGACGCUGAGGCGCGAAAGCGUGGGGAGCGAACGGG